UACAUGUGGGGCAAGCGUUGUUCGGAAUUACUGGGCGUAAAGGGCGCGUAGGCGGAUGGUACAGUCAGAUGUGAAAUUCCCGGGCUUAACCUGGGGGCUGCAUUUGAUACGUGCGAUCUGGAGUGAGGAAGAGGGUCGUGGAAUUCCCAGUGUAGAGGUGAAAUUCGUAGAUAUUGCGAAGAACACCGGUGGCGAAGGCGGCGACCUGGUCCUUUACUGACGCUGAGGCGCGAAAGCGUGGGGAGCAAACAGG
RNAcentral lists this ribosomal RNA (253 nucleotides) under uncultured bacterium. RNAcentral describes it as "partial 16S ribosomal RNA". It matches the Rfam family "Bacterial small subunit ribosomal RNA", at positions 524 to 776 of the family's 1533-position model. The record is from RNAcentral.